RNAcentral lists this transfer RNA (75 nucleotides) under Candidatus Woesearchaeota archaeon. Its description in RNAcentral is "tRNA-Ile". It matches the Rfam family "tRNA". From Rfam's summary of the family: Transfer RNA (tRNA) molecules are approximately 80 nucleotides in length. Their secondary structure includes four short double-helical elements and three loops (D, anti-codon, and T loops). The record is from RNAcentral. Lineage: Archaea; Nanobdellati; Candidatus Woesearchaeota.
GGGCUCGUAGCUCAGCCUGGCUAGAGCACUGGUCUUAUAAGCCAGAGGUCCGGGGUUCGAGUCCCCGCGAGCCCA